RNAcentral lists this ribosomal RNA (437 nucleotides) under Fusobacterium sp. canine oral taxon 189. RNAcentral's name for it is "bacterial SSU rRNA". It matches the Rfam family "Bacterial small subunit ribosomal RNA", at positions 9 to 455 of the family's 1533-position model. The record is from RNAcentral. Lineage: Bacteria; Fusobacteriati; Fusobacteriota; Fusobacteriia; Fusobacteriales; Fusobacteriaceae.
GAGUUUGAUUAUGGCUCAGGAUGAACGCUGACAGAAUGCUUAACACAUGCAAGUCAACUUGAACUUCGGUUUGGGUGGCGGACGGGUGAGUAACGCGUAAAGAACUUGCCUCACAGUCUGGGACAACAUCUGGAAACGGAUGCUAAAACUGGAUAUUAUGAACUAUGCGCAUGCAUGGAUUAUGAAAGCUAUAUGCGCUGUGAGAGAGCUUUGCGUCCCAUUAGCUAGUUGGAGAGGUAACGGCUCACCAAGGCGAUGAUGGGUAGCCGGCCUGAGAGGGUGAACGGCCACAAGGGGACUGAGACACGGCCCUUACUCCUACGGGAGGCAGCAGUGGGGAAUAUUGGACAAUGGACCAAGAGUCUGAUCCAGCAAUUCUGUGUGCGACGAUGAAGUUUUUCGGAAUGUAAAGUGCUUUCAGUUGGGAAGAAGAAAGU